RNAcentral lists this ribosomal RNA (531 nucleotides) under Diaporthe tanakae. Its description in RNAcentral is "eukaryotic LSU rRNA". It matches the Rfam family "Eukaryotic large subunit ribosomal RNA", at positions 87 to 643 of the family's 3401-position model. Lineage: Eukaryota; Fungi; Ascomycota; Sordariomycetes; Diaporthales; Diaporthaceae. The record is from RNAcentral.
CGGCGAGUGAAGCGGCAACAGCUAAAAUUUGAAAUCUGGCCUAGGCCCGAGUUGUAAUUUGCAGAGGAUGCUUCUGGCGCGGUGCCUUCCGAGUUCCCUGGAACGGGACGCCACAGAGGGUGAGAGCCCCGUAUGGUUGGACACCAAGCCUGUGUGAAGCUCCUUCGACGAGUCGAGUAGUUUGGGAAUGCUGCUCUAAAUGGGAGGUAAAUCUCUUCUAAAGCUAAAUACCGGCCAGAGACCGAUAGCGCACAAGUAGAGUGAUCGAAAGAUGAAAAGCACCUUGAAAAGGGGGUUAAAUAGUACGUGAAAUUGUUGAAAGGGAAGCACUUGUGACCAGACUUGGGCCGGGCGGCUCAUCAGGGGUUCUCCCCUGUGCGCUCCGCCCGGCGCAGGCCAGCAUCGGCUCUCGUGGGGGGAUAAGACCGCCGGGAACGUAGCACCCUCCGGGGUGUGUUAUAGCCCGGCGGACGAUACCCCCGUGGGGACCGAGGUUCGCGCUCCGCAAGGAUGCUGGCGUAAUGGCACCAA